UACGUAGGCAGCGAGCGUUGUUCGGAGUUACUGGGCGUAAAGGGUGCGUAGGCGGUUGUUUUAAGUUUGGUGUGAAAUCUCCCGGCUCAACUGGGAGGGUGCGCCGAAUACUGAAUGACUAGAGUGCGGGAGAGGAGAGUGGAAUUCCUGGUGUAGCGGUGAAAUGCGUAGAUAUCAGGAGGAACACCGGUGGUGUAGACGGCUCUCUGGACCGUAACUGACGCUGAGGCACGAAAGCGUGGGGAGCGAACAGG
Molecule: ribosomal RNA, 254 nt
Filed under: uncultured bacterium
Lineage: Bacteria
Description: partial 16S ribosomal RNA
Rfam family: Bacterial small subunit ribosomal RNA
Source: RNAcentral